Molecule: long non-coding RNA, 955 nt
Organism: Sander lucioperca (pikeperch)
Lineage: Eukaryota; Metazoa; Chordata; Actinopteri; Perciformes; Percidae
Exons: 2
Source: RefSeq, a predicted model, not a curated record
GCAUCCUCCUUACCCUCCCCCUCUGUCUCGCUCUCUCUCACUUUCUCUCUCUCUCUCUCUCUCUAUGGCUCUCGCUCUCUUUGUAGGUAUUUCCCUUGCUGAUGUUGUCCAUUGAGAGCCAGUGAUUGUCUGUGGGUGAGAGCAGAGGAGAAGAGUGGAGCCGAUUACUGCAAUGCAGAGCAACCAAACAACAUCCCGGCGCUGCAGCAGACGCAGAUGUGUGUCUGCAUGUGUGCUCGAAUAAAUGACACAGCAGUGGAGGAAGAGCGAGAGGCAAUCUAAGCCACAGAGGCCCACAGGCGUUUGAAGUCUAAAGACGCUUUCAUCCUCGACUCUUGGAAAUGAAUGAUUUUUUUCACACAGUGACAGGACAGCUCUGACAGGACCCAAACACAUGAACCAUAGCAAAGCUGUCAGAUAGUCAAACACACAUACACAUACACAGAACGAGUCCAGAACAGAAAGUGUUGCAGAAAUCAGGCGUUCACGGGCAGAGGAUGUGAGAAUGAAACGUUAAAAAGUGAGGAAAAGAGAGAGAAUAGAACGGAGAAAAUGAUGCUAUAAUUAGUCGUUUGUUGCUUUAACUGGCAUUUAGUUUUAACUGGGCUUCUUUGUCUGUAGACACAAUGGGGCUGAUGUGGCAUGAGUGAACUACACAGUUUAGAGGAUUAAGGCUGGACUGAGGCUGUGGUGCCGCACUCCCUCUCUCCGUCACGCACACACAAACAGACUCUCAACUAGCUCCACAAACACCCUGCUUCACACACUUUCUUAAACACACACCUACAAACAAAGGCACACCCUACACACACACACACACACACACACACACACACACACCAACGCGCCCACAGGGGGAUUAUCUGUGCAACAGAGUUCUGAACACUGAGAGUGAGGAGGCGUCUGAAGAACUGCACUCAUCACCGAAGGAUGGAAAGAGCCCAGCAGAAACAAA